RNAcentral lists this long non-coding RNA (368 nucleotides) under Homo sapiens (human). Its description in RNAcentral is "HSALNT0304146". Lineage: Eukaryota; Metazoa; Chordata; Mammalia; Primates; Hominidae. The record is from RNAcentral.
CAGAGUUUGAGGCACAAAGGGAGAGAUAAUAAUUCAGGGCACCUCAAGAUUUUCCCUUCAACCUCCGACCGAAUGGAGCCUUCGGUACCUCUGUGCCUAUUGGCCAUGCUGCAGGAAAGCUCAGUUAUGAAAUCUUCCACUCUGAGAUCUUGGCAGAUCAAAAACUAUACGGAGCAUUUGGUCUAGUACUAAUAAAGAGAAGAAGAUCGGAGCAGCUUUGACAUGAAUGGAUCCAUCUGGCCUGGUCUCCAUACAAGUUUCCUAUGAGUUUGGUCACAGACCCUUCAAGCAAUUGUUUAAAUGAGAAGAUGCUACAUUUUCAAGCAGAGACUGAUUCACUGUAGCUUAAUAAAUUUUUACUGAGCCCA